Molecule: long non-coding RNA, 568 nt
Organism: Onychostoma macrolepis
Lineage: Eukaryota; Metazoa; Chordata; Actinopteri; Cypriniformes; Cyprinidae
Exons: 3
Source: RefSeq, a predicted model, not a curated record
CGCCAUUGGAUCAUCAAGCUCUCAGUGAAACCUCGUAACUUCACCCGCCUCCAUUCAGAUUUACGCGCCGCGCACAGCCUGGAGGAGACACAUCUCGGCUUUUUCGCAAUGAAAGGGUCACCACUCCAUCUGAUGUCCAUCAGUCUCUACAUUUGCCAGAGAACACAACUUAUAAUUAUUGGUCAGUCUCUAAGCAACCAGCGGUAGAUGUUGAGCAGCCCAACUUUGUCUCUGGCCUUGCAGUGCUGUUUGUAUUAUUGUAUGAUUUCAACUUCCAGUAUCAGGAAGAGGUGGCAUGCACCCUUGCGAUUGAGGUUAGAUAUUAGCAUAUUUGCCAUUGAUAUAUAUGAUAGAGUGAAUUGUCACUAUCUUGUCUUGACAGUAUUUGUAAAGUACUUAAGUAUUUUUUCACAAACAUUUUAUACAGUUGAUUAUAGAGAUGAAUGAUAUAUUGCAUAUUUAACAUUAUCAUGUAGUCAUGUAAUCACAUCACAAGUGUUGCAAUUCUCUGUGCUGUCUAUAUAUAUAUAUAUAUAUAUAUGAAGAGAAAAAACCAAGAAAGGAAAAG